AAACCAACAGGGAUUGCUCUAGUAACGGCGAGUGAAGCAGCAAUAGCUCAAAUUUGAAAUCUGGCGUCUUCGACGUCCGAGUUGUAAUUUGUAGAGGAUGCUUCUGAGUGGCCACCGACCUAAGUUCCUUGGAACAGGACGUCAUAGAGGGUGAGAAUCCCGUAUGCGGUCGGAAAGGCGCUCUAUACGUAGCUCCUUCGACGAGUCGAGUUGUUUGGGAAUGCAGCUCUAAAUGGGAGGUAAAUUUCUUCUAAAGCUAAAUAUUGGCCAGAGACCGAUAGCGCACAAGUAGAGUGAUCGAAAGAUGAAAAGCACUUUGGAAAGAGAGUUAAAAAGCACGUGAAAUUGUUAAAAGGGAAGGGAUUGCAACCAGACUUGCUCGCGGUGUUCCGCCGGUCUUCUGACCGGUCUACUCGCCGCGUUGCAGGCCAGCAUCGUCUGGUGCCGCUGGAUAAGACUUGAGGAAUGUAGCUCCCUCGGGAGUGUUAUAGCCUCUUGUGAUGCAGCGAGCGCCGGGCGA
Molecule: ribosomal RNA, 520 nt
Filed under: uncultured Cladosporium
Lineage: Eukaryota; Fungi; Ascomycota; Dothideomycetes; Cladosporiales; Cladosporiaceae
Description: LSU rRNA
Rfam family: Eukaryotic large subunit ribosomal RNA
Source: RNAcentral